Molecule: long non-coding RNA, 1984 nt
Organism: Dalotia coriaria
Lineage: Eukaryota; Metazoa; Arthropoda; Insecta; Coleoptera; Staphylinidae
Exons: 16
Source: RefSeq, a predicted model, not a curated record
GUAGGUACGUCCAAAGAAGGAGGGGCCUUGCGCCAGGUAGGAAUACUCGAACAUGAAGGCGUUCCAACGUUGCAUCUUCAAGAAUGCAGGACGAUCUCCCCUAGCACAAACCUAAAGCAAAUCCAAUUAGAACACAAAAAGAAACUUGUUUAUAAUAUCUUCUCACCUGUAUUUGACUCUGCUGAAGUUGAAUCAGCAAUCAGAAUUUAGAAUUUGUUAUCACAUCCAAAGUUAUCAACAGGAAUACAUAGAUUCUCGUUGAGAAGAAGACUUUACCUUUGGGGGUCAGGGCUCGAUGUGUAUACCCAUCAAGGAAUGGGCUACUGCCUCCGGGGGUAUGAACAGCCACAAAGAUGCUGAGUUCUGUCAAAAGAAUUUGAAUGUGAAGAAGAUGAAACAUUGUAAUGGAAGAUGUCAUAUUCAAAGGAGAACAAAAACUGGAUAAACAAAUGUCAGAAUGAGAUAUCGCAAGGUUGUGUUUCACGUGUUCACAAGCAGUUCGUAGUGUAGUGUAGUGUAGUCAUACCAAGCACGUAGUCGUAGUCGUAGUUAUAGUUGUAGUCAUAGACUAGAAGUAAUUUAGUAGACUGUGAAGUGAACACUGAAAUGCAAUCGUGGCAAUUGUAUCUGACUUUGUUUAUUCAGAGAUGUGAAGAUGCAGAUCGACAUUAAUUGUUCCUGAACAACCUGGGUUUUGCACAUGAACCUGACAUCGUAGAAGAACCAUUCUCUCUUCAAAAUGGGUUUUGCACAUGAACCUGACAUCGUAGAAGACCGAUUCUUUCUUCAGAAUGGGUUUUGCACAUGAACCUGACAUCGUAGAAGACCGAUUCUUUCUUCAGAAUGAGUUUUGCACAUGAACCUGACAUCGUAGAAGAACCAUUUUCGCUUCAGAAUAGCUUUUGCACAUGAACCUGACUUAGUAGGAGAACCAUUCUUUCAUCAGGUUGAAGGGUUUUGCACAUGAACCUGACAUCGUAGAAGACCCAUUCUUUCUUCAGAAUGGGUUUUGCACAUGAACCUGACAUCGUAGAAGACCCAUUCUUUCUUCAGAAUGAGUUUUGCACAUGAACCUGACAUCGUAGAAGAACCAUUUUCGCUUCAGAAUGUCGAGCUUUUGCACAUGAACCUGACAUAGUAGGAGAACCAUUCUUUCAUCAGAUUGAAGAGCUUUUGCACAUAAACCUGACAUCGUAGGAGAACCAUUCUCUCUUCAAAAUGGGUUUUGCACAUGAACAUGACAUCGUAGAAGAACUAUUCUCUCUGCAAAAUAUAGAGCUUUUGCACAUGAACCUGACAUCGUAGGGGAACCAUUCUUUCAUCAGAUUGAAGGGCUUUUGCACAUAAACCUGACAUCGUAGGAGAACCAUUCUCUCUUCAAAAUGGUUUUGCACAUGAACCUGACAUCGUAGAAGAACUAUUUUCUCUUCAGAAUGUAGGUAUUGAAUUGAGUGUAAACAAGUUUUUAGUGACCUCGUGCAGUUGCUGUCGGCUGUGUGCAACUCAAGGCAUACGCAUUUCCUUUUUGGUUGUCGAGUGAAUCGCGCGUUUACAUUGCGACUACUUUUUGUUCUUCAAAUCAUAAUUAGAUAAAUUGCGGAAUGUUCAAUUAACAAUGAAUGUGGUUUUGCUUGUGAGAAAGCAUGCGAUAAAUGUUCAUCAAUCGCGGAGUUAUCGGUGGUUCACCUAUGCGCGUGUGAUGUUCCGCCGGCCGUCGGUGAUUGUUUUUUGCAUGUGGAAUUAUAUUACACUCGUGUUAACCUAUGUGUAAAUAACCUGCGUGUCCACACAGACUUAAUAAUAACUUGGAUUUAUGUAACAACGUUGGUUCCUGUUGAAGAAGUUUAGGAGCACUUGCGUCAAGAGAUGCGCAUAUUACAAGGCAAGUUUUACUUUCAGGAGAUUUAAGAGCUGCCUAUGAUUUUCGAUUUAAAAAAAAAUGUAUGUAGUUUUUAAUGUUGCUAAUAAAACAUAGUAUUAUAUA